GAUCAUGGCUCAGGAUGAACGCUAGCUACAGGCUUAACACAUGCAAGUCGAGGGGAAACGAUAGAGAAAGCUUGCUUUUUCUAGGCGUCGACCGGCGCACGGGUGAGUAACGCGUAUCCAACCUGCCCAUCACUUGGGGGAUAACCUUGCGAAAGUAAGACUAAUACCCAAUGAUAUCUCUAGAAGACAUCUGAAAGAGAUUAAAGAUUUAUCGGUGAUGGAUGGGGGAUGCGUCUGAUUAGCUUGUUGGCGGGGUAACGGCCCACCAAGGCGACGAUCAGUAGGGGUUCUGAGAGGAAGGUCCCCCACAUUGGAACUGAGACACGGUCCAAACUCCUACGGGAGGCAGCAGUGAGGAAUAUUGGUCAAUGGACGAGAGUCUGAACCAGCCAAGUAGCGUGAAGGAUGAAGGUCUUACGGAUUGUAAACUUCUUUUAUAAGGGAAUAAACCCUCCCACGUGUGGGAGCUUGUAUGUACCUUAUGAGUAAGCAUCGGCUAACUCCGUG
Molecule: ribosomal RNA, 507 nt
Filed under: uncultured bacterium
Lineage: Bacteria
Description: bacterial SSU rRNA
Rfam family: Bacterial small subunit ribosomal RNA
Source: RNAcentral